GAUGAAGAACGUAGUGAAAUGCGAUACGUAAUGUGAAUUGCAGAAUUCAGUGAAUCAUCGAGUCUUUGAACGCACAUUGCGCCCCCUGGUAUUCCGGGGGGCAUGCCUGUCCGAGCGUCAUUGCUGCCCUCAAGCACGGCUUGUGUGUUGGGCCUCCGUCCUCCUCCCGGGGGACGAGCCCGAAAGGCAGCGGCGGCACCGCGUCCGGUCCUCGAGCGUAUGGGGCUUCGUCACCCGCUCUUGUAGGCCCGGCCGGCGCUUGCCGACACAUCAAUCUUUUUUCCAGGUUGACCUCGGAUCAGGUAGGGAUACCCGCUGAACUUAAGCAUAUCAAUAAGCGGAGGA
This 345-nucleotide unclassified non-coding RNA is filed under the name soil metagenome. Its description in RNAcentral is "partial contains 5.8S ribosomal RNA, internal transcribed spacer 2, and large subunit ribosomal RNA". The stretch from base 1 to 120 matches the Rfam family "5.8S ribosomal RNA", at positions 35 to 154 of the family's 154-position model. The record is from RNAcentral.